UACAGAGGGGGCAAGCGUUAUUCGGAAUUAUUGGGCGUAAAGGGCGCGUAGGCGGCCUGGCAAGUGGAAGGUGAAAUCCCUCGGCUUAACCGAGGAACUGCCCUCCAAACUGCUUGGCUUGAGUCCGGGAGAGGUGAGUGGAAUUCCCAGUGUAGCGGUGAAAUGCGCAGAUAUCAGGAAGAACACCCGUGGCGAAGGCGGCUCUCUGGGACGGUACUGACGCUGAGACGCGAAAGCGCGGGGAGCGAACAGG
RNAcentral lists this ribosomal RNA (253 nucleotides) under uncultured bacterium. RNAcentral's name for it is "partial 16S ribosomal RNA". It matches the Rfam family "Bacterial small subunit ribosomal RNA", at positions 524 to 776 of the family's 1533-position model. The record is from RNAcentral.